UACGUAGGUGGCAAGCGUUAUCCGGAUUUAUUGGGCGUAAAGGGAACGCAGGCGGUCUUUUAAGUCUGAUGUGAAAGCCUUCGGCUUAACCGGAGUAGUGCAUUGGAAACUGGGAGACUUGAGUGCAGAAGAGGAGAGUGGAGCUCCAUGUGUAGCGGUGAAAUGCGUAGAUAUAUGGAAGAACACCAGUGGCGAAAGCGGCUCUCUGGCCUGUAACUGACGCUGAGGUUCGAAAGCGUGGGUAGCAAACAGG
Molecule: ribosomal RNA, 253 nt
Filed under: uncultured bacterium
Lineage: Bacteria
Description: partial 16S ribosomal RNA
Rfam family: Bacterial small subunit ribosomal RNA
Source: RNAcentral